UACAGGAGGGUGCAAGCGUUAAUCGGAAUUACUGGGCGUAAAGCGCACGUAGGUGGCUUGAUAAGUUGGGUGUGAAAUCCCCGGGCUUAACCUGGGAAUUGCAUUCAAGACUGUCUUGCUAGAGUGUGGAAGAGGGAAGCGGAAUUCCAGGUGUAGCGGUGAAAUGCGUAGAUAUCUGGAGGAACAUCAGUGGCGAAGGCGGCUUCCUGGUCCAACACUGACACUGAGGUGCGAAAGCGUGGGGAGCAAACAGG
This 254-nucleotide ribosomal RNA is filed under the name uncultured bacterium. Its description in RNAcentral is "partial 16S ribosomal RNA". It matches the Rfam family "Bacterial small subunit ribosomal RNA", at positions 524 to 776 of the family's 1533-position model. The record is from RNAcentral.